UCCCGUUUGGUCAGUGGCCUGGUAUUUCUAGCUUGUCAGGAAGCCAACAGAAAACAGUCUGUGUCCGCUUCAGGAAGAGAAACUUUUCCAUUCUCUGAGAUAAGGCCUGUUGCCCUUGGUUCCCGGCCCAGAGGGGCACCAUGGGGAUGUUGUGAAGAGGCCAUAGGUGAUUCCGCUCACCUGUAGAUGGGGCCUGAUCGCUCCUUCCAGAACGCAGCGACUGUGUGCUCCCUGAACAGGGCCGGGCCCUUCUCUGACUGGCACAAAUGAGAAUUUCGGAGUUACUUCGUGGACGAUGGGUGUUACAUGGGCAUAGAAUAAUGGGAUGGGUGUUACACGGGAUGCUGAACUGCUUCUCAGAGAAUCUGUGGCCAUAAUCCUAAUUCCUCUUUCUUCCCUUGGACAAAUCAUUUAACUUCCCCAAGGCCUAUUUUUUUUUUAAAUCAUUUGAGAACUUUGAAUGACAUUACAAGUGUCUCUGAAAAUACAGGGCCAAAAAAAAAAAAAUGCAGAAAAAUUCAAUUUCUCUUUCCAUAUGUUAUUCUGUAGCCUUGGGCUGUAUCUGCGAUGUUCUUCCUUCUUUCCCCUUCCCCCAGCAAAUUCCUAUGCAUCAUUCAAGGUUCAGCUGAGAACACGCCUCCUCCAGGAAGCCCUCCCAUACUCCAGCAGUCUGACAUGGCUGCCCUUCUCUGUCUUCCAUAAUGUCCAGGCUUCUUUUUUCUAUGGCACCAAGGGUCUAUUUCAUUAAACAGUGAACUCCUAGCUGGUCAAAUGGGCCUUGGUCACUUCUGGACUCCCAGAACCCAGGCAGGCAAGGCCUGGCACGUGGUAGGUUCUCAAAAAAAACAGCUUGUCGAACAAAUGAAUCGUAAAGUUGAAUUCCGUAAUCCAAGCCAUAUUUUCUCAUUCGCUCUCAGUAUUGCAUACAGAUUUUACCAAUAGAAAUAAACGAGUGAAAGGUUGUGAGAUCAGGGAAUUGGGUCAGAAAGCAAGGCGAGGGGCAGGAGGUGCUACCUCCCAAACGCACCAGGCCCUCAACUCUAGGCAACCUCACUAAAUGGCAGAGCAACCCGGGGAUGGAAAGGAUAACCUUUCUGUCCCUUGCCAAGCUGUAAAAAGUGAUGGCAAGACAUCAUGCCCUAAUCUCCCUCCUCAGAUCACGCCAGCUUGUGGAAUUUAACCAAGAGGAUGUUGAUAAAUCCCAGAGCAAGGUUGGAGGACGAAGUCAAUGUCCGGCAUCAGCCGGGCUCUGGAUCCCCAAAACUGCAGAGUCAUGCUGAGUCUAGAAGAGGGUUUUGCAGACUAACUGAGACGCAUGCGAGUGAGGUGCCUGGCGUGGAGUAGCACACAUUGCCUCCUCCUCCCACGGCGGACAUCGGGUUCUCCAUCUUUCAGAUAAGGAAGUUGGAGGACAUGACUACCAAGGCCGCUUUCAGCUCCAACCUUCUGCCAUUCCACCAAACUGCAGGAGCAAAAAAAGGUCCCACCUUGCAUGAGAAAGCGGAUGGUCACCCUCCCUCCAGGCCAUGGGGCCCCUCCACAGACCUGCCAUCUAGCCAAGCUGUGUGACCUCACCACUGAGGUCAUUUCAAGGUGGCUCACUCCCUUCAGAGAUCAUCUAACACAGAUGUUAUCCCCUAUUUCGCUGCUGCCCGUGGGGACAUGGCUAUCAAGAUAACAGAAGGAAGAUCAGAAGGCGCCAGGCCCAGGUGCGUCCACCGCCAUCACCGAGGAGGGACGCAACUCUGUUUUGCACCCCCGGGGGGACACUUUUCCUCCUUCUCCACAAUUCUCUUGCCCAAUUUUUAUCUGAAGGCAUACCCCCGCCAUAUCAGCACCCCCCCUCACCCAGAGCUGCCCCUGGUAGUGACUCCCAAGGCCUCGAAGUGGCUUCGGUCUGAGGACAGGCACAUGGGAGCCAAGAACAUGGUAUGCCAGACAGACUGAAGCUCCUCAUCCCUCGGGCUGAUUGUUCUCUGUGGUUACCACACCACGACAGAAGAAACUUGAAGGAAGGUUUAGGAUGCCACAGAUAGUUGAACUGCUGAUGUUUGGACAUUUUUUUCCUCCUCAGCCAGCAAUUCUGUGGUUUUUCUUAUUGCAUUGAGAGGGGGAAAAAAUGCCUUCUAGGGCACUUCAUGUUUGCAACGGUCUAUCAUUUUGUUACUCCCACCACUGUGUGCCUUAGAGGUACAUCAAGGACACAAGCACCGGGCCCAUUUUACAGGUGGUGAAACUAAGUUCAGAUAAGGGAGGAAAUGCUGGUCUUUAAGUUGAUCUAGCUAAGCAGGCUUCCUUUAGAAAUAAUCAAGCCUUUGACCAAAUUGUUCACACACACACACACACACACACACACACACACACACAGACACAUUCAAACCCGUUCUCUCUCUCUCUCUCUCUCAGACACACACACUCACACUUCACACAAACUCUACUGUUCCCCAGGGGACUUCAUAUGGUUUGCCUGCUCUGGUUUUACUCAUGAUACUUUCCUACUUCCUGGCUAUAAAUACACCAAGGUCAAACCUGUCUUGGUUUCACUCGACCAGCCAAAGAAGCAGUUACUCCAAAACAGACAGCAGGGAGCAACCAGCAAAGGGAGAGGCGACAGAUUUGCUCCGUCACUCUUGGUCCCCCAAAGGCUUGGGCUGAGCAAGCAAGGGCCCAAAAAUCACUCUCCUUUUGAGAUCCCACCUCCCACCGACUGGCUAAGGCAAGGCCCCGUCCUUGCCAGCCACGGGUCCCGCUGUGAAAACCCACCUCCAGCCUUUUGACGCGGGACUUCAAGGCCAUACCCCAGAGAAGCCAUUUCUCCUCACUACUGCUGUCUUCCUCUUUACUCAUAUGCAGAGUAAAUUCUUCCUCCAUUCCUCCUAGACUUUGAAUCAAUGCUUCUUUUGCUCUUGUUGUUGUGGUUGUUUAUUAAGAUAUAACUCUAGCAGUAAUGUUAUUACAGAGUAGUGACAUUAGCAAGUACUUCCUGGGUGCUUGCUAUGUAUCCAGAGCCCUGCAUUCAUGACCCUAUAUAAUCUUCUCAACAGUCCUAGAGUAUAGGUACUACUGGUGGUAAGUACUGCUGUCACCAUCAGCGUACAGAUGAGGAGACUGGCCCGGAAGGUUAGGUCACGUGCCCAGAGUCACACAGCCACUAGAUGUGAACGGAGGUCCUGAACCUUAUCCACCACAACAUCAUGCCCCCUCCUGCCCCACAGCAUCGGUGGUCCCAGGGCUGCCCAAACGGAACAUGACUGCCAACAGGUGCUGGCAGUUGCUACCUGACCCAAAAGGGGUGAGGGAAGGGGAUUCUGGGUCAAAUAAGUUUCAGAAAUACUCCAUGUCCAUGGUUCUCAAACUGUUGGGUUUCGGGAACCUUUUGCAGCCCUUAAAAAUUUCUAUUAUUGGGGUGCCUGGGUGGCUCAUUCGGUGAAGCAUCUGGCUUCGGCUUGGGUCAUGAUCCCGGGGUCCUGG
This is a long non-coding RNA of Zalophus californianus (California sea lion), 3471 nucleotides long. RefSeq lists it as uncharacterized. Lineage: Eukaryota; Metazoa; Chordata; Mammalia; Carnivora; Otariidae. The record is from RefSeq and is a predicted model, not a curated record. The transcript has 3 exons.